This 300-nucleotide ribosomal RNA is filed under the name uncultured Pyrodictium sp. RNAcentral describes it as "bacterial SSU rRNA". It matches the Rfam family "Bacterial small subunit ribosomal RNA", at positions 496 to 795 of the family's 1533-position model. Lineage: Archaea; Thermoproteati; Thermoproteota; Thermoprotei; Desulfurococcales; Pyrodictiaceae. The record is from RNAcentral.
GUGAGACGCGGGGCCGCAGGAGCGGUAAUAGGAAUGGUGCAAGUGUUAGUCGGAAUUACUGGGCGUAAAGCGUGCGUAGGGGGUUUGGUAAGUCUGAGGUGAAAGGCCUGGGCUCAACCUGGGAAUGGCAUUGGAUACUGGCAGGCUAGAGUGCGGUAGAGGGUAGUGGAAUUCCCGGUGUAGCAGUGAAAUGCGUAGAGAUCGGGAGGAACAUCUGUGGCGAAGGCGACUACCUGGACCAGCACUGACACUGAGGCACGAAAGCGUGGGGAGCAAACAGGAUUAGAUACCCCAGUAGUC